This 428-nucleotide ribosomal RNA is filed under the name uncultured prokaryote. Its description in RNAcentral is "bacterial SSU rRNA". It matches the Rfam family "Bacterial small subunit ribosomal RNA", at positions 355 to 774 of the family's 1533-position model. The record is from RNAcentral.
UCGAGAGGCUUCUACAAUGGGGGAAACCCUGAUAGAGCGACGCCGCGUGGGUGAUGAAGGUCUUCGGAUCGUAAAGCCCUUUCAGCAGGGAAGAACGGAUUGGUGCUAAUAUCACCGUAUCCAUGACGGUACCUGCAGACGAAGCUCCGGCUAACUCCGUGCCAGCAGCCGCGGUACGACGGAGGGAGCAAGCGGUGUUCGGCUUUACUGGGCGUAACGGGCGUCUAGGCGGGUUGGUCAGUCAGGUGUGAAACCCCCCGGCUCAACCGGGUAUCUGCACUUGAUACUGCCGAUCUUGAGUACGGAAGAGGAAAGCGGAAGUCCUGGUGUAGCGGUGAAAUGCGUAGAUAUCAGGAAGAACACCGGUGGCGAAGGCGGCUUUCUGGUCCGAUACUGACGCUAAAGCGCGAAAGUGUGGGGAGCAAACA